AAAUUCUGCCCUAUGAAUAUUUAAAUGGCUGCAGUAUUUUGACUGUACAAAGGUAGCAUAAUAAUUAGUUUUUUAAUUGGGGACUGGUAUGAAUGAAUAAAUGAGAAAUAAAUUUUAUUUAUUUAAUUUUUAAAAUUUUAUUUUUUAGUAAAAAAUCUAAAUUAAUUUUUUGGGACGAAAAGACCCUAUAGAACCUGAAUUCUUAUUAAAUUUUUAUUAAGUUUUUAUUUAAUUUUAAUAAUUUUAUUUUAUUGGGGUGAUAGUUAAAUUUAAAUCUUUAAUUUUUUUAUUCACUUAUUAUUGAUUAUUAAAGUUUUUAUUUUAAAAGAAAAGGUUACCUUAGGGAUAACAGCGUAAUUUAAAUGGAGAGUUCAUAUCUAUAUUUAAGUUUGCGACCUCGAUGUUGAAUUAAGGUUAGAUUAGGGGGUAGAUUUUCUUUUUCUGAGUC
Molecule: ribosomal RNA, 448 nt
Filed under: Michalowskiya breviprocessa
Lineage: Eukaryota; Metazoa; Arthropoda; Insecta; Hemiptera; Cicadellidae
Description: partial large subunit ribosomal RNA
Source: RNAcentral